GGUUGCGAUCAUACCAGCACUAAUGCACCGGAUCCCAUCAGAACUAAGCAGUUAAGCAUGCUUGGGCGAGAGUACUACUAGGAUGAGUGACCCCUAGGGAAGUCCUCGCGUUGCAACCCC
RNAcentral lists this ribosomal RNA (120 nucleotides) under Helianthus annuus (common sunflower). The record is from RNAcentral. Lineage: Eukaryota; Viridiplantae; Streptophyta; Magnoliopsida; Asterales; Asteraceae.